UUAAGCGACUAAGCGUACACGGUGGAUGCCCUGGCAGUCAGAGGCGAUGAAGGACGUGCUAAUCUGCGAAAAGCGUCGGUAAGGUGAUAUGAACCGUUACAGCCGGCGAUGUCCGAAUGGGGAAACCCAGUGCGAUUCGUUGCACUAUCGUUAACUGAAUACAUAGGUUAACGAGGCGAACCGGGGGAACUGAAACAUCUAAGUACCCCGAGGAAAAGAAAUCAACCGAGAUUCCCCCAGUAGCGGCGAGCGAACGGGGAGCAGCCCAGAGUCUGAAUCAGCUUGUGUGUUAGUGGAACGGUCUGGAAAGUCCGACGGUACAGGGUGAUAGUCCCGUACACCAAAAUGCACAGGUUGUGAACUCGAAGAGUAGGGCGGGACACGUGGUAUCCUGUCUGAAUAUGGGGGGACCAUCCUCCAAGGCUAAAUACUCCUGACUGACCGAUAGUGAACCAGUACCGUGAGGGAAAGGCGAAAAGAACCCCGGCGAGGGGAGUGAAAAAGAACCUGAAACCGUGUACGUACAAGCAGUGGGAGCACCUUCGGGUGUGACUGCGUACCUUUUGUAUAAUGGGUCAGCGACUUAUAUUCUGUAGCAAGGUUAACCGUAUAGGGGAGCCGCAGGGAAACCGAGUCUUAACUGGGCGUUAAGUUGCAGGGUAUAGACCCGAAACCCGGUGAUCUAGCCAUGGGCAGGUUGAAGGUUGGGUAACACUAACUGGAGGACCGAACCGACUAAUGUUGAAAAAUUAGCGGAUGACUUGUGGCUGGGGGUGAAAGGCCAAUCAAACCGGGAGAUAGCUGGUUCUCCCCGAAAGCUAUUUAGGUAGCGCCUCGUGAACUCAUCUUCGGGGGUAGAGCACUGUUUCGGCUAGGGGGUCAUCCCGACUUACCAACCCGAUGCAAACUACGAAUACCGAAGAAUGUUAUCACGGGAGACACACGGCGGGUGCUAACGUCCGUCGUGAAGAGGGAAACAACCCAGACCGCCAGCUAAGGUCCCAAAGUCAUGGUUAAGUGGGAAACGAUGUGGGAAGGCACAGACAGCCAGGAUGUUGGCUUAGAAGCAGCCAUCAUUUAAAGAAAGCGUAAUAGCUCACUGGUCGAGUCGGCCUGCGCGGAAGAUGUAACGGGGCUAAACCAUGCACCGAAGCUGCGGCAGCGACACUAUGUGUUGUUGGGUAGGGGAGCGUUCUGUAAGCCUGCGAAGGUGUGCUGUGAGGCAUGCUGGAGGUAUCAGAAGUGCGAAUGCUGACAUAAGUAACGAUAAAGCGGGUGAAAAGCCCGCUCGCCGGAAGACCAAGGGUUCCUGUCCAACGUUAAUCGGGGCAGGGUGAGUCGACCCCUAAGGCGAGGCCGAAAGGCGUAGUCGAUGGGAAACAGGUUAAUAUUCCUGUACUUGGUGUUACUGCGAAGGGGGGACGGAGAAGGCUAUGUUAGCCGGGCGACGGUUGUCCCGGUUUAAGCAUGUAGGCUGGUUAUCCAGGCAAAUCCGGAUAAUCAAGGCUGAGGUGUGAUGACGAGGCACUACGGUGCUGAAGUAACAAAUGCCCUGCUUCCAGGAAAAGCCUCUAAGCAUCAGGUAACAUCAAAUCGUACCCCAAACCGACACAGGUGGUCAGGUAGAGAAUACCAAGGCGCUUGAGAGAACUCGGGUGAAGGAACUAGGCAAAAUGGUGCCGUAACUUCGGGAGAAGGCACGCUGGUGUGUAGGUGAAGUCCCUGCGGAUGGAGCUGAGACCAGUCGAAGAUACCAGCUGGCUGCAACUGUUUAUUAAAAACACAGCACUGUGCAAACACGAAAGUGGACGUAUACGGUGUGACGCCUGCCCGGUGCCGGAAGGUUAAUUGAUGGGGUUAUCCGUAAGGAGAAGCUCUUGAUCGAAGCCCCGGUAAACGGCGGCCGUAACUAUAACGGUCCUAAGGUAGCGAAAUUCCUUGUCGGGUAAGUUCCGACCUGCACGAAUGGCGUAAUGAUGGCCAGGCUGUCUCCACCCGAGACUCAGUGAAAUUGAACUCGCUGUGAAGAUGCAGUGUACCCGCGGCAAGACGGAAAGACCCCGUGAACCUUUACUAUAGCUUGACACUGAACAUUGAGCCUUGAUGUGUAGGAUAGGUGGGAGGCUUUGAAGCGUGGACGCCAGUCUGCGUGGAGCCAACCUUGAAAUACCACCCUUUAAUGUUUGAUGUUCUAACGUUGGCCCCUGACCGGGGUUGCGGACAGUGUCUGGUGGGUAGUUUGACUGGGGCGGUCUCCUCCCAAAGCGUAACGGAGGAGCACGAAGGUUAGCUAAUCCUGGUCGGACAUCAGGAGGUUAGUGCAAUGGCAUAAGCUAGCUUGACUGCGAGCGUGACGGCGCGAGCAGGUGCGAAAGCAGGUCAUAGUGAUCCGGUGGUUCUGAAUGGAAGGGCCAUCGCUCAACGGAUAAAAGGUACUCCGGGGAUAACAGGCUGAUACCGCCCAAGAGUUCAUAUCGACGGCGGUGUUUGGCACCUCGAUGUCGGCUCAUCACAUCCUGGGGCUGAAGUAGGUCCCAAGGGUAUGGCUGUUCGCCAUUUAAAGUGGUACGCGAGCUGGGUUUAGAACGUCGUGAGACAGUUCGGUCCCUAUCUGCCGUGGGCGCUGGAGAAUUGAGGGGGGCUGCUCCUAGUACGAGAGGACCGGAGUGGACGCAUCACUGGUGUUCGGGUUGUCAUGCCAAUGGCACUGCCCGGUAGCUAAAUGCGGAAGAGAUAAGUGCUGAAAGCAUCUAAGCACGAAACUUGCCCCGAGAUGAGUUCUCCCUGAGACUUUAAGUCUCCUGAAGGAACGUUGAAGACGACGACGUUGAUAGGCCGGGUGUGUAAGCGCAGCGAUGCGUUGAGCUAACCGGUACUAAUGAACCGUGAGGCUUAACCUU
This 2900-nucleotide ribosomal RNA is filed under the name Klebsiella pneumoniae. Its description in RNAcentral is "bacterial LSU rRNA". It matches the Rfam family "Bacterial large subunit ribosomal RNA". The record is from RNAcentral. Lineage: Bacteria; Pseudomonadati; Pseudomonadota; Gammaproteobacteria; Enterobacterales; Enterobacteriaceae.